GAUGAACGCUGGCGGCGUGCCUAAUACAUGCAAGUCGAGCGAACGGACGAGAAGCUUGCUUCUCUGAUGUUAGCGGCGGACGGGUGAGUAACACGUGGAUAACCUACCUAUAAGACUGGGAUAACUUCGGGAAACCGGAGCUAAUACCGGAUAAUAUUUUGAACCGCAUGGUUCAAAAGUGAAAGACGGUCUUGCUGUCACUUAUAGAUGGAUCCGCGCUGCAUUAGCUAGUUGGUAAGGUAACGGCUUACCAAGGCAACGAUGCAUAGCCGACCUGAGAGGGUGAUCGGCCACACUGGAACUGAGACAGGGUCCAGACUCCUACGGGAGGCAGCAGUAGGGAAUCUGCCGCAAUGGGCGAAAGCCUGACGGAACAGCGCCGCGUGAGUGAUGAAGGUCUUCGGUUCGUAAAACUCUGUUAUUGGGGAAGAACAUAUGUGUAAGUAACUGUGCACAGAUUGACGGUACCUAGUCAGAAAGCCACGGCUAACUACGUG
This 497-nucleotide ribosomal RNA is filed under the name uncultured bacterium. RNAcentral's name for it is "partial 16S ribosomal RNA". It matches the Rfam family "Bacterial small subunit ribosomal RNA", at positions 28 to 507 of the family's 1533-position model. The record is from RNAcentral.